This is a long non-coding RNA of Cydia amplana, 258 nucleotides long. RefSeq lists it as uncharacterized. The transcript has 3 exons. Lineage: Eukaryota; Metazoa; Arthropoda; Insecta; Lepidoptera; Tortricidae. The record is from RefSeq and is a predicted model, not a curated record.
GCAGACGGUGCCAAGAAAAAACAUAAAAAGAAGAAGAAGAAGAAAUCAUCGGCCGCUUCUAAUCAUUCAGGUGAAAACAUUGAUACUCAGAACUUUACUGCUGCUAACUGUAAGAAACGUAAGAGGAAGACUUCUAAUGCGGAAUAUUCUCAAGAAUCUGGAGAUGUCCAAGAGAGCGUGGAAACUGGAAAGCAUAAUGAAUUGGUCGGCAGCAAUAAAAAACGUAAAAUUUCGCAUAAUGAAGAUAACACAUCAGGU